RNAcentral lists this non-coding RNA (45 nucleotides) under Schistosoma mattheei. The record is from RNAcentral. Lineage: Eukaryota; Metazoa; Platyhelminthes; Trematoda; Strigeidida; Schistosomatidae.
GUCCAGCUGACGAGUCCCAAAUAGGACGGAACGGGCGUCAAGGAU